Molecule: ribosomal RNA, 460 nt
Filed under: uncultured bacterium
Lineage: Bacteria
Description: partial 16S ribosomal RNA
Rfam family: Bacterial small subunit ribosomal RNA
Source: RNAcentral
CCUACGGGAGGCUGCAGUGAGGAAUAUUGGUCAAUGGGCUUACGCCUGAACCAGCCAAGUCGCGUGAGGGAAGACUGCCCUAUGGGUUGUAAACCUCUUUUGUCAGGGAGCAAUUGGCGCUACGUGUAGCGUUAUCGAGAGUACCUGAAGAAAAAGCAUCGGCUAACUCCGUGCCAGCAGCCGCGGUAAUACGGAGGAUGCGAGCGUUAUCCGGAUUUAUUGGGUUUAAAGGGUGCGUAGGCGGAAUGCCAAGUCAGCGGUAAAAUCGCGGGGCUCAACCUCGCUCCGCCGUUGAAACUGGCGGUCUUGAGUGGGCGAGAAGUAUGCGGAAGGCGUGGUGUAGCGGUGAAAUGCAUAGAUAUCACGCAGAACUCCGAUUGCGAAGGCAGCAUACCGGCGCCCAACUGACGCUGAAGCACGAAAGCGUGGGUAUCGAACAGGAUUAGAUACCCGGGUAGUC